UAUUCAUGGAAAAGUGCUGAAGAGCAAAGCAGUUGUACUCUGUGCCUAGAAGCCAUAACUGGAAGGUCCAUGGUUCAAAGUUGCCAUGUCUGUGACUUGAGGCUUCACUGUAGAAAGAGAGAGAGAAUGGAUCUGAAUUCCUUACACUCCAUUUGCGGAAGGAUGAUCAUGCUGUCCCAUUUCCCCUAGGACAGGGGAAAGCUCUUGAAAUUAAAGAUGAGGAACCCAUUUCCCGAAGGUGCCUUCAGCUGCCACCGAUGAUCAGACCCAAGUACAUAAUGUAUUGGCCCAAUGGACUGGCUGUGUUUGCUAAGUAAACUCCACAUCCAGUGUGGAACUCAACAUGGGGCUUGAACUCACAAACCCAGAGAUCAAGACCUGAUUUGAAAUCAAGAGUCGAAUGCUUAACUGACUGUGUUACCCAGGUGCUCCUAAUUUUACCUUUCCCUGCUGCCAAGGAAGUAUACGGGAAGAAGUUAUUUUAUCAGUCCUAUAUUAAGGAUGCACAAUGUCAUAAAUCAAUGAAACAGAACAGAAAGCCUGGAAAUGGACCCACAACUAUACGGUCAACUAAUCUUCAAAAAAGCAGGAAAGAAUAUCCAAUGGAAAAAAGAAAGCAUCUUCAAUAAAUGAUUUUGGAAAAAUUGGACAGCCACAUGCAGAAGAAUGAAACUGGACUACUUUCUUACACCAUACGUAAAAAUAAGUUCAAAGUAGAUGAAAGACAUAAAUAUGAGACAGGAAACCAUCCAACUCCUAGAGAAGAACACAGGCAGUAACCUCUCUGACCUCAGCUGUAGCAACUUCUUACUGGACAUGUCACUGGAGGUAUGGGAAACAAAAGCCAAGAAUGAACUAUUGGGACUUCAUCAAGAUAAAAAGCUUCUGCACAGCAAAGGUGACAAUCAACAAAACUAAAAGGCAGCCUAAGGAAUGGGAGAAGAUAUUUGCAAAUGACAUAUCUCAUGAUAAGUGAUUAGUAUCCAAAAUCUAUAAAGAACUUAUCAAACUCAACACCUCCCCCCAAAAUGAUCCAGUUAAGAAAUGGGCACAAGACAUAAAUAGACAUUGUUCCAAAGAAGACA
Long non-coding RNA from Mustela lutreola (European mink), 1085 nucleotides. RefSeq lists it as uncharacterized. Lineage: Eukaryota; Metazoa; Chordata; Mammalia; Carnivora; Mustelidae. The transcript is spliced from 3 exons. The record is from RefSeq and is a predicted model, not a curated record.